Molecule: ribosomal RNA, 492 nt
Filed under: uncultured bacterium
Lineage: Bacteria
Description: partial 16S ribosomal RNA
Rfam family: Bacterial small subunit ribosomal RNA
Source: RNAcentral
AGUGAACGCUGGCGGUAGGCCUAACACAUGCAAGUCGAACGGCAGCACAGUAAGAGCUUGCCCUUACGGGUGGCGAGUGGCGGACGGGUGAGGAAUACAUCUGAAUCUACUUUUUCGUGGGUGAUAACGUAGGGAAACUUACGCUAAUACCGCAUACGACCUACGGGUGAAAGCAGGGGAUCUUCGGACCUUGCGCGAUUGAAUGAGCCGAUGUCGGAUUAGCUAGUUGGCGGGGUAAAGGCCCACCAAGGCGACGAUCCGUAGCUGGUCUGAGAGGAUGAUCAGCCACACUGGAACUGAGACACGGUCCAGACUCCUACGGGAGGCAGCAGUGGGGAAUAUUGGGCAAUGGGCGCAAGCCUGAUCCAGCCAUACCGCGUGGGUGAAGAAGGCCUUCGGGUUGUAAAGCCCUUUUGUUGGGAAAGAAAAGCAGCAGGUUAAUACCCCGCUGUUCUGACGGUACCCAAAGAAUAAGCACCGGCUAACUUCGUG